This is a transfer RNA of Hypholoma sublateritium FD-334 SS-4, 95 nucleotides long. It matches the Rfam family "tRNA". From Rfam's summary of the family: Transfer RNA (tRNA) molecules are approximately 80 nucleotides in length. Their secondary structure includes four short double-helical elements and three loops (D, anti-codon, and T loops). The record is from Rfam. Lineage: Eukaryota; Fungi; Basidiomycota; Agaricomycetes; Agaricales; Strophariaceae.
UGCCCCAUGGCCCAGUUGGCUAAGGCGUCCGACUGUUACCGACUCGCAAGAGGCGCGCCAUCGGGAGAUCGAGAGUUCGAGCCUCUCUGGGGCAG